CGAAUUAGUUUGAGCUAAAUAGCCAGGUGUUGAUAGACCAAUGAUGUGCGUUUCAUAGCACAAUUUAAAUGGUUAUUUAGGGGCGAUAGGCUUUACAAAAACUAAGAUAUCUUGAUGCCGUAAAAAUGUACUUAGUACAAAGACAAAUAUAGAGUGGUUAGGCUUUAUAUGAGUAUAAUAUUUAUUUUAUGUAAGUAGUGGUAUAAGCAUCUAUUACUUUUCUUAAAUAUUAUUUAAAUUAAAAUUAUGUUUAUAGUAUAUGGUGCUGUUAAAAUUUCAACUAACAUUGAUAAUGUUUGCAUGAGUACUGUUUUGAGACCUAGAUAAUGAACUCGGCCAGUUUUUUCUUCAACUGUUUAUCAAAAACAUAACUAUAUGAAAGUUUUAUAUAGCUAUUUCUGCUCAAUGUUUCUAUAAAUAGCCGCAGUACCUUGACUGUGCAAAGGUAGCAUAAUCAAUUGGCUUAUAAUUGAAGUCUGGGAUGAAAGAAUCUAUGGGGAAACACUGUUUCAUUUGGGGUUUGUGGAAAUUAUUUAGUAGGUGAAAAGACCUAUAGUUAAAAAAUAGACGAGAAGACCCUAGAAAUUUUGAUUAAAAAAUUUAAAGGAUAUUUUUUUGUUGGGGCGACAAAGUAGCAAUUAAAACCUACUUAAACAAAUAUGUAUUAUAUAUAUAAAGGUUAAGUAAAUUACUCUAGGGAUAACAGCAUAAUAUUUUAAAGUUUGUGACCUCGAUGUUGGACUAGGAAAAUAUAGUUUAGAAGACUACUAUAAAAGCUCUGUU
This 783-nucleotide ribosomal RNA is filed under the name Acusta assimilis. RNAcentral's name for it is "partial large subunit ribosomal RNA". Lineage: Eukaryota; Metazoa; Mollusca; Gastropoda; Stylommatophora; Camaenidae. The record is from RNAcentral.